UACAUUUCACUUAAAAAUGUUUCCUGACAUUCAGCCUAAAAUUUUUCCUUUCUUCAUUUUAUCCCACUAAAUCCUAGUUAUUCCUCAUUUCCCCACCCUAAAUAAACACUUUCCCUCAAAUCUGUUUACAGCUAGCUAUUCUUUUCUCCUUUCUCAGCAGAGAGAACUGAUUUAUUCAUAUUUUCAGACUGAGUGACAGGAGGAAUGAGCAAAUAUCAAGAGAGGGAUACAAAAUGCAAAGAGGAAAUACAAAAAAAAAUCAAUGAAAUCAAAAGAACAGAAACCUUAGAAAGAGAACUGUAUCCUAACCUAGGGACAAAACAGAAAAACAAACUAUGAGCUAGGAAACGUAGCAAGGUGAACAGGAAAUAAAAUAAACUCAAUGUCAGGGAAUAAAGAUACAGUGGAGAGGUUGGGGCUGAGAGAACACAGUGGAGAGGCUGGGGCUGAGAGAACACAGUGACAACAGAUGGAGAAAAUACUGCUUCCUCCUAUUUGGCCAUUUACAUCUUGAUUUUUCAUUUCGUAAGGAGGAAAAAAGCAGUAGAAGAGACAGAGAUGAGUGUCUUGCAGAUGAGGAAGAACCCUGUUGUGACACUCCCUGACGCACAUUAUGGCAGAGGUACACUUUUUCCCUGUGGAAGUCUGGUCUCCUCAACUGAUAACAGAGGAAUUCCUCUGCAUCUGUAACCCUAGCAAUGCACAUACUCUAUGUACAAAGAAACCCAAGAAGUGCAGCAAACCAGAAAUUCUGAGGUGCUGAGCCUGGAGGAUGGGAGAAGUAGUGAAAUCACAUCCCAAGGAGAAUGAAAGGUCUAAAAGGGUGCCAUUUUGUGUCUACACAAGUCCUUAUAUUUUGGAAAAAGAAAACCUUUGUGAAAGAUUCCCCACUUUCAACUUGCAAUCGAGCUGGGAGAGCUAUGCGUCUACAUCUGAACUUAAAAAGAGAUUCUCUAGCAAACUCAGGGAAGAACAGACGAAGGCCUUAUCUACUCUUCAGAGUUAAGUUGACUUAAGUUAUGUUGAUAAUCAGGGCUUGAUGAACGGCAGCGAAAGCCGCUCGCCAGCCCCACACUGCGCAUGCACAAGACCCACAUUGCGUAUGCGCUCGCCGCAAAUGAACGGGGCACCCGGCAGAAAUCUACUCACCACGGGUGAGUAGAUUCAAUACUUUGUUGAGCCCUGUCAAUAAUCAUAAACCAUUGUAAUUAUAUCACUUGUGCAUGUGCACACAAUGCUCUUUGUGUUAGCAGGACGCAUCCACUCUUGGCACUCUAGCACCAACAGAAAGAGUGCACCAUGGGUAGCAAUCCCAUUGUGGAAAUCACUACUUUCUCCUGAUAGGAGUUCUGGGAAUGGAUUGCAGCGCAUCAUGGGAAUGGGAUAAUUGCCUCUAUGAUGUGGUUAUAUUAAUCCCGUAACUAUAGGGGCUUCCCACUGCAUUGCAUGUCAUUUUUCAACUGUCCUAAAAACUUUUCUGUGGUUUGGCUCCUGCUCUGCUCACCAGCAUUGUGAUAAGCAUUAUGAACAUACCACCAUUGUUCUUGCAGUCUUUCAUGAGCUUCAAAUUUGAACAGGAAUCUGUGCUGCCUGCUCUGCUGUGGAAAGAAAUAAUUCAGGAUUGAUAUUGACAUUCACAAAGCCACUGUGCAUGGUGGUCCAUCACAAUUGGGAUCAAGAAACAAACAUUGAGUGGUGGGAUCAGAUUGUAAUGCAGCUAUGGGAUGACAAGCAUAUCUGCGGCUGCAGAAUUUCUUAUGCCCAAAGCCAUUUCUUAUGCCCGGAGCUCGUCCUCACCAUUCAGUGCAAGGCCACCAAAAUCAGAGCACUCCUAAUGGUGGAGAAGUGAGUGGUGAUCGCUGUGUGGAAGCUAACAACUUGCAAACAAUUACAGGUGGGAGGUUGGGGUUUUGAAGCAUGUGGGGCCAUUAAGCGCCCCCUGCUACAAAGAACUGUGACUCUGGGCAAUGUGCAGGAAAUCGUGAAUAGCUUUGCAGAAAUUGGAUUUCCUAACUGUGGUGGGGCAGUGGAUGGCAAGCAUAUCCCAAUUUUGAACCUAGACAAUCUUGUCACAGAGUACAUCAACAGAAAAAGUUAUUUCUCUAAAAAACAACAAAUAGUCU
Pelodiscus sinensis (Chinese soft-shelled turtle) is the source of this 2123-nucleotide non-coding RNA. Lineage: Eukaryota; Metazoa; Chordata; Testudines; Trionychidae. The record is from RefSeq and is a predicted model, not a curated record.